Long non-coding RNA from Cydia strobilella, 6027 nucleotides. RefSeq lists it as uncharacterized. The record is from RefSeq and is a predicted model, not a curated record. Lineage: Eukaryota; Metazoa; Arthropoda; Insecta; Lepidoptera; Tortricidae. The transcript has 2 exons.
CUGGUGACAGACAGACAGACGGACAGUGGAGUCUUAGUAAUAGGGGUCCCGUUUUUACCCUUUGGGUACGGUACGGAACCCUAAAAAUGGCAUUCUAUUGUCUGUGUCAAGAAAAUAUACAUCUUUGAUGAAUCCAUAAUUGAGUCGCUUAACUUCAAACUCUGGUAAAUCCAUCUGUCAGAUUAUGCGAUUUUGGUAUUAUGAAAAGGUAAUAGGGUAGAUAUUUGCUGAGAGGGUCGAAUAGAUUUACCUGAGUUUAAAGUUAAACGACACAAUUUUAGUAAAUUGAUUGAUUGACAUUUUAUUAUUUUCAUUAAAAUAAACCGCAAAAAAGGCAAUGUGUUUCCCGUGCUUAUUUGUAGGCGAAAGGGCUUAAAUGGGGUUGGCGACCGUCAAAGGCCACAAGGGAUAGAUGGCGCCACCAUAGCUUGCCCCUUUUUCUAUGAGAUUUCGCUUAACGGGCUGGCAUCCAGGGCAUACAAUUCCAUCAAAAAAAUUGACACAAUUCCAGGGAUUGACAGGGCAAGCUAUGCUGACGCCAUCUGCUAAAUAUUUCGACCGGCCAACCACAUUGUAUACUUGAGAUUUUGUAGUAUUCCUAUGUUUGCAACAAAACCUUUUUACUUUAUUUUGUUACCUUACAUACAACUACAAGUAAAGACACUACAGUGACUAUUGGCAGAUCUUACCUAAUAAUUACCAUCCAUGGUAACUAAAACUAAUGUAGGUAAUAUACUUUCGUACGAAAUAGUACGAAUACAAUUGAAGACACAUUUAGAUUUUACCUCUUUUGUAAUAAGAUUCGAUUUACUAUUUAAAUGUGCGAUAGGCUGCUUAAUACUAGAAAUUAGACAAUAUUUGUAUGAAAUAUUAUUAUUUGUUCUUAAGUAUGUGUCUUGCUCUAUAUUGAUGUGAAAGAGUGAGAAACCCAGUUUUAGAAUGAACCUGAAAUAACUAGAGUAACCCACCUCAACUUAUGAUCGCUAGUUUUUUUUUUAUCAAGCACCUCACUCAGAUAAUUUAUCGAUAUAAUAUCGAUUUGUUAUUACAAAUCGAUAAAUGUUUAUUGCAAUAACUCUAUUUAAAAUGUUUAAUAUUUGCAAUUUUAUACGCCAAUUUCAAUGACGUUAAAUAACCUUUUUGUCGUGUGACAUCCACUCACCCUAAUGCACAGAUUAAAUAACACUACAGAAAAAAAUACACCACUCUCAGCGACUACGGUAAAAAGGUUAAAACGUCCGAAACUGUUUUUAACCUAACGUGAGGUGCUCUGCUCAAAUAUAAUGUUUUGUAUGUUUUAAAAACAUUAUUUUCCAAGUCAAUUAUUAAUAAAUUUUAGAAAAUGAUUUGUGACGUGCCAUGUCUAAAAGGCCCUUAUUCACAUGGAGUACAAGGACCCUUUAGUCAUGGACCGCCACAUAUAUUACUUCAGGUUAACUAAUUAGUAAUUAAAUCUAAAAAGAAAACUUUAGUUUUAUUCCCAAUCGUAAAUAUGUAUUUUGUUAACAAAUGUGAAUUAGAAUGGGAUAUGUAUAAUUUCGAGGAAAUAGUUUUAAAUAGCAAAAUAUUGGUAGGUGCGAGGUCGACUGAAACGACUAGUCAUUAAAUAUUAUAUCCUGGAAAAUAAUGUUUUUGAAUAUCAACCUUCCAUUCGAGAAAACUGUAAAUAGUAUAAUGUAAACGGUUUCAGUGGUUUGUUCACUUCGGUAUGUUUAAAAAUGAUCUCUCAUUUUUUUAUAAUAGUUUUUAAUCGAAAUUAAUUUUCGUUUUGUACAAACUUUCGAAACCGAGUUUUGAUGACUUUAAAAAUAUGAUUGUGAGGUAGAUUAGUGUUUUUUAAUUGGCAAAUCACUUUGACGAGAAUUUAAUUUUGUGGCGCGCCGAGAUUUGUGUACCUAUUACCGAUGAAUAUAUUAUCUGUAGACCAUAACUUUAUCAAUAGUUUGAUCUUAUCUGACUAAUAAUUGUUUUUUUCCAAAUCUGGUAGUUUAAUUGUAUUGGCCAUUACAUAAUCUUCGUUUCACUCGGGGACCGGAAAACCUCUUUAUUUGAUUAAUCUUUUUGAUAGGGUAACCCCCAAUGAAAUGGUUACCCUUACAUUGUGUUGGCCAUAGUUUAAAAUACCUUAAUCGUUCUAAAAACACUUGGUAGACUUUAUCUGUUAAGAGUUUUUGAUAUGGUAAGCGCUUACCCAAAAUUAACUUGAUAUAUUGAUUUGGUAACCCUGUCGUUCGGGUAAGUUAACGAUGUGGUUUUCGAACUGAUACGGUUUAUAAAAGCAAUUCUAUCAAAUACCCUAUCCGAUACCCCUUUAUUGGUAACCGGUGCCGGUCUCUGGGCCCUGGACCCACUCGUAUUUACAUACUUGCUGGUAAAAGACAAAUAACAAAUUGGGAACAAAUCAAAUUAUUUUUAUAAAAUAUCUUGUUUUGUGUUUUUAAGUAGUCACACUAAUAUAUAUAAUAUAAAUUGAAAUAGGUGCCAUAUACUAAAGAAAAAGUGACCAAACCCUCCAGUGGCCGAGAAUGGGCCGGAAUCGAACUUCAGGUUACGCGGCUAACGCCCUGGACUGGACCUCUAGGCCGUGGCCACGGCGGAAUCCCAAAUUCUGGUACUGGACAGUUUUUUUUAGUGUAUGACAUUUAUAUCAGUUUAUAAAGGAUAAAUAAUUGGUUGAGGGCAGCAAAUGACCGUUCGUUGUGGAGUUCCUUGGGGGAGGCCUUUGUCCAGCAGUGGACGUCUUUCGGCUGAGAUGAUGAUCAUGAUGAACUUACAUAAGACAUGUGACUGAUUAUUCUGGCUGGUCUGUGUGUUAAAUGUUUACACAAAGUAGGUUUUUGGCAACCUGUUUAAGUAAACUCCUGCAUAUCCAAACGAAUAAUACAUACUAAUAGGUUCAGAAGUCUCUAAUCUUUCGAGCCCUCUUGGUAGUUUUUUUUUGUACCCCCUUUAAUUUUGUUUUAGUAAAAUAACUAGUCUGACGUGGUCUGACUAAGCUAACUCUGCAUGACAUUUGCAAUGACAAAGCGGUAAAUAGGGAAAAAACUUAAAAUGUGAUUUACUUUAACAUUUUUUAAUAACUACCCACACAAAUUGUACACAUUUUUUACUAUUAUUUUCAAUCGAAUGAUACAGUUUAAGUGGGUAUUUUCUCAUGUAAAUCACAUUUUUUGUUUUGUCCCUAUUAACCUCGGUUGACGGUACGUUAUGGUUUCUUUGUCUAUGCUUAAAAAUAAUAGGUUUAGGUAUAAAAGGGUUAAAUAAUAUCAAUUCGACUACAAGUCCAUGUUGCACACUGUCAGAAAAUCAUCACUUGCGGCUAGAAUAUUAAUAAAUUGUUAAAAUAAUUAUAUACAUCGGUAUUAACAGUCGAAAUUAUCUGAUUAAAACUUUAUAACAAAACAAUCCAUUUAAAUAUCAACCUUCCUAACCAAGCAAGAAGAUGCAAACUAUAAUGACUAAUUUUGUAUAAGUUCAGUGAACUUUUAGUUCCAGAUAAUUUCAACUGCACAUUCUCGGGUCACAUGUUGUGAGACAGGAUUAUGACAAUAGGGUAUUAUGCUACUUAAAUCAUGUACAAAGUAUGCAGGCUGAGUUCUGAUAAUAAGAAUAAGGUAUGAAUAAUUAAAUAAUCACUUUAGUUGUUAGAUGCCCACCCGAAAUAAAGUUAUGGUACAGAAAUCAUAAUACAACUAGAAAUAUAACAAUGCAAUUAAGCUUUACUAUAAUAAUUAAAAAAAAAACUAAGGCCAUUCCGGUUUUUUUUUUCCGUCGCCGAUGAGCCGAUUUUGAUAAGCGAGUUUUCAAUUGAUUGAAUCAUCAAAAUCAGCUCUGUAGUUUCUACACCACGUUGUGGAAUACAGGUCUAGAAUGAAAGCGUAACGGCCCGGCCACGACAUCGGGCGGCUUCGGCAGCGACGAGCCGCGGCCAUAGGUUGGAGCGAGACACAGCGAUCGGACCUUUCGUUCCCACCUAUGGCCGCCGCCGUGGCCGGGCCGUAAGCGUCGUUUUAGAUCUGUAAUAAUAAGGACACAAAGAAAAAUAGGCUCCUAAAUCAUGUAUACGUAACCCUUCGCAUAGUUGAGUAAAACAUAAGAGUUAUACCUUAUACCAUAGAAACAAUUAAGGGUGUAUAGUAUAAGGGCAUAUCUAUGAGUCAUUUUAGUGAGACAUGAGAUUAUCUAAAAAACGACUAUAUCGUCAAAGUAAAACAUGAUUCCCAAAAUGGUGAGGCGUGCCCUUAGUGGAGCGUGUUUUUUUUAUGGUCAAUAAAUAAAUUAAUCAAAAAAUAGUUUUAACUUUUGGGAAGGCUUAACCGAAUAAGUUAAAUUAUGUCGCAUGACGGACUAAACCGGCACUAAAAUAGCACCAAUCUCUUUUUAUAUUGCCGUCGUAAUUAAAAUUAACACCGAACAUCAAAGAGAAUAUAGAUAAUAAAAUAUGACAUUGAUGCAUCAAGGCGGUUUGUUUACAGUUUAUGCAAGAGUGACAGAGAUGUUAGAUAACGCAAUUUCGAUUUUCUUGUUUCGCGAUAGACCCUCAUAGACCGCGGUCCAGGAACAGAUUUCCAUGACCAAUCGCCUCCCGGGCCAAAACUCGUAUAGUGGUUAACAGCUAUGUAUGAUGUACCCUUGUGAACGUCAGUUGCCGCUCCGUUGGUGGGUUGAGGGAUGGCAGCAAAUAAAGUCUAUAAUAUUUUUUUUGUCAUCGCCUCCCGCUUGAUACUUUGUCAGAUGAUAGUUUAGAUGCUAUUGUGAAUAAACAAAAUCGUCAGCCGAUUGUAUCGCUGUGGAAAGACCGUCACCUGGUCACAUGAACAAGUAAAAAAGAAAAUUAUUUUCAGUCAUCGGCGUCAUCGCCUCCCGUUUGAUACUUUGUCAGAUGGUAGUUUAGAUGCUAUUGUUAAUAAAACAAAUCGUCAGCCGGUUGUAUCGCGGUGGAAAGACCGUGUUACGCCUUUCGGUGGCUGCCAUUCCUCAACCCACCUACGGAGCGGCAGCUGACGUUCACGAGGGUUCAUCAUACAUAGCCUGUAACCGCUAUACGAGUUUUCGCCCCGGAGGCGAUGACUGACGAAAUUUGCGCCUGGCUCGCGGUCCAUUAGAUUGUCGUAGUGACGCCCCCUACGCGGAGUUUCGCGUGAUAUUCCCUAAUGCUUGAUAUUACCUAUACGAUAUUUAAUAAGUAGGUAUAUUUUCAUGUAUAUAUUGCUAUAAGAUUAAAUUAACUGGCGUGGCGGUUACUUACACUUUUUUUUAUUUGUAUGUAAAUAGUGUAGUGUAGGGCGUUAAUGCCAACUUUUAACAUAAAAUGCAUAACGGUACUAUGUAUUAUAAACUGAAAUCUUAGAUAACAAACACUAAAGAAAAAGUGACCAAGUCCACCGGUGGCCGAGGCGGGAAUCAAACCCGCGUCUUCAGCUUACGCGGCUAACGUCCUGACCACUAGACCACCCGGCCACGGCGGUACCCGUCCAAAAUUCUCUGGUGUAUGUUAUCUUUGAAAGGCUAGGCGCCUUUGACCAACUCUAAGGGCGAGCAGUGUGUGCCACCCCCUCUUAUACGAAUCCUUUACUUGAUGACACACACUGGAACACAAAUCAAAAAAAUAUUUCAUAAAAUAAUUUGAUUUGUUCCCUAGUUGGGUACUAUGUAUGUUUUAACCGCCAGUGGCCCUUAAUUAUGUACGUAGUUAAAAGCGUCGUUUGGCUGCAGUGUCCAUGUACCAAAUGAUACUUAUCUACGUUUUGAUUGCACCCAUAACGGUAAUUCUAAAAAAUAGCCACAACCGAAUACAGAACCUCCUCCUUCUAUGAAAUUGAAGUCGGUUAAAAAGAAAUCGCGGUCCAAAAAAAUUUUGCACGUUUCUUCAGACAUACCUAUUCGUCAAAAGGUUAAAAAAAACUCAUCUGGGAGAGUUUUGGUGACUAAAGUGAUUAUUACCUGAUUUGGUUUACUAUGCAUUGUAAAAAUAAAUGGAUGAUGAAGCGAAGCACUGUUCAAAGAAUUAAAUGUUAAUUUUUGAAU